Molecule: ribosomal RNA, 452 nt
Filed under: Enterococcus faecium
Lineage: Bacteria; Bacillati; Bacillota; Bacilli; Lactobacillales; Enterococcaceae
Description: bacterial SSU rRNA
Rfam family: Bacterial small subunit ribosomal RNA
Source: RNAcentral
UAACACGUGGGUAACCUGCCCAUCAGAAGGGGAUAACACUUGGAAACAGGUGCUAAUACCGUAUAACAAUCGAAACCGCAUGGUUUUGAUUUGAAAGGCGCUUUCGGGUGUCGCUGAUGGAUGGACCCGCGGUGCAUUAGCUAGUUGGUGAGGUAACGGCUCACCAAGGCCACGAUGCAUAGCCGACCUGAGAGGGUGAUCGGCCACAUUGGGACUGAGACACGGCCCAAACUCCUACGGGAGGCAGCAGUAGGGAAUCUUCGGCAAUGGACGAAAGUCUGACCGAGCAACGCCGCGUGAGUGAAGAAGGUUUUCGGAUCGUAAAACUCUGUUGUUAGAGAAGAACAAGGAUGAGAGUAACUGUUCAUCCCUUGACGGUAUCUAACCAGAAAGCCACGGCUAACUACGUGCCAGCAGCCGCGGUAAUACGUAGGUGGCAAGCGUUGUCCGGA